RNAcentral lists this transfer RNA (39 nucleotides) under Alexandrium monilatum. RNAcentral describes it as "partial Selenocysteine transfer RNA". Lineage: Eukaryota; Dinophyceae; Gonyaulacales; Pyrocystaceae. The record is from RNAcentral.
ACAGGGCAUUGACAUCUGUGACGCGCUGAAGGCACGUAA